GAUCCUGGCUCAGGACGGACGCUGGCGGCGUGCUUAACACAUGCAAGUCGAACGAAGAGCGAUGGAAGCUUGCUUCUAUCAAUCUUAGUGGCGAACGGGUGAGUAACGCGUAAUCAACCUGCCCUUCAGAGGGGGGACAACAGUUGGAAACGACUGCUAAUACCGCAUACGAUCCAAUCUCGGCAUCGAGACUGGAUGAAAGGUGGCCUCUAUUUAUAAGCUAUCACUGAAGGAGGGG
RNAcentral lists this ribosomal RNA (238 nucleotides) under uncultured bacterium. RNAcentral's name for it is "partial 16S ribosomal RNA". It matches the Rfam family "Bacterial small subunit ribosomal RNA", at positions 15 to 229 of the family's 1533-position model. The record is from RNAcentral.